This 29-nucleotide non-coding RNA is filed under the name Mus musculus (house mouse). The record is from RNAcentral. Lineage: Eukaryota; Metazoa; Chordata; Mammalia; Rodentia; Muridae.
UACGGAAAGCAAGUCCUGAGCUUGGUGGU